This 1897-nucleotide long non-coding RNA is filed under the name Zalophus californianus (California sea lion). Its description in RNAcentral is "lncRNA (ENSZCAG00015003118.1)". The record is from RNAcentral. Lineage: Eukaryota; Metazoa; Chordata; Mammalia; Carnivora; Otariidae.
GGGGAGCAGGCCACAGAUGGAGAGGAACGAUGGAGCCGCAGAGCCGGGGAAGUGGGAUUCUGAUGGUACAGGAAUGCCGCUCAGGGAUCUGGAGAGACGAUGGGGACCCCAGAGGGGACGUCCCCAGACAUCUACCAAAGGCUCUAGUCAUUCACCAUGCAAAGGUCGCUUGACGGAGCUAGGCCGCAGGGGCAGGGACAGGGAGCCCCAAACGCGGAACAAGCCCCAGGGGCCUGCCCAAGCCACGCUCUGGCUCUAAAAGAAGGCCCGCCUGCGCACAAACCCGGUGGCCCGCGGGGCGCGAGUUCCCAGCCCCCUCCGCAUGCAGGUAAUCCGGGAACACUUCCUCCGGAGGUAAGAAGGCAGGAGGCUCAUGUUCGAAGUGUCAGUGGGCUCCAGAGUGUGUGACAAAGCCAUCAAGCCCAAGCUCCCAAGAGCCCAGGUUCACGUUCUUGCCCAGCACGUAAGGUGAGAACUUCACAUCCUGUCUGCUCUCAUCUCUCAUAUAGGCUCUGGCUGAUGUUCCUGCAGCCUAGGGGAGGAAGGGGACUCAGAAGCCUGGAGAUUGUUCCGAGUCAGGUCUGCCCACAGGUGUCUGAUGCCCAGCAAUGGCUGGGCUCAUUUCCUGAAGCUGAGGCCUGACUAGUGCAAAGCACAGUGGUACCCAGUGGAUUUCUAAGGAAGGUGUAGUGGAAUGCCAGGCACACUCAGGCUUCAAGUCUCCCUGAAUUCAUUGCUGAGCUUGGCCAUUGCCACCACUCAAGGGGGAAUGGGGAGCUAGGAAAUCGCCUUUUUUUUUUUUUGUAGGCAACCAGGGGAAAUGAGGACUUGUAGACCCUUCUCUCUUAUGCCUCCUUCUCUUAACAAAUCUUGGCAUUUCUUUCAUUUCAUUUUUUAAUUGUAAUAUUCUAGACACAUUAAAAGGUAUGUAUCAGUCAGAACAUACUAGAUUAUGUGGCAGUACCAAACAAUCCUGAUAUCUUCUUAGUGGCUUAACACACUUCUGCUUCUGCUACAUGUCCUUGAAGGAUGAGCUGGGGGCUCUGCUCAGGAAAUCACUCAGGGACCCAUUUGAUAAGACAACCACCAUCUCAAACAUUGUCAGAAGCAAAAGAGAAAUCCAGAGGGUCUCAAAAGGCAAUUUAAGGGCGCCUGGGUGGCUCAGUUGGUUAAGCGACUGCCUUCGGCUCAGGUCAUGAUCCUGGAGUCCUGGGAUCGAGUCCCACAUCAGGCUCCCUGCUCAGCAGGGAGUCUGCUUCUCCCUCUGACCCUCUUCCCUCUCGUACUCUCUCUCAUUCUCUCUCUCAAAUAAAUAAAUAAAAUCUUUAAAAAAAAAAAAAAAAGGCAAUUUAAUGCUCUAGCCAGAACUAGUCAGUCACAGGCUUCCCCUGACCACAGGGAACCAGGUAGUGCAAUUCUUCUAACACUUAGAAGGGAAAGGGGCCACAGAUGUCUGGAGAACAACAAUCAUAAUGACCACGGAAUAAAGAAUGACAUCACUAACACCGCGUGCCCAUGCCACCCAACCUAGCAAAUAUCACUUUGCCAAUACGGGUGAGACCCUCUGUGCACCUGACUCAAGUAUAUCUCUUUCUGCUCCCUGCUCCACCGAGGCGACCAUUCUUCUGAGUUUGAUGUUUAUCAUUCUCUAUAUUUUACCAUAUAUUGUUUAUAUCAAUAUAUAGUACCUGUAUCCAUAGAUAGUAAAAUAUAUACAUAUGCACAUAUUACAUACACCCUUUGCAGAGGGGUGAACUGGGUCCUCAGUCGCCACUCAGCCUGUCCUGAGGCCCUAAUACAUUAGGUCGAAUAUACCGUAUGUUUUGCACUUCAAGAUCAUGUAAGUGGUAUCAAACUGUAUAUACCCAUCAGCAACUUUCUUUUUUGAUCUGCUCCA